RNAcentral lists this ribosomal RNA (444 nucleotides) under uncultured bacterium. RNAcentral describes it as "bacterial SSU rRNA". It matches the Rfam family "Bacterial small subunit ribosomal RNA", at positions 354 to 796 of the family's 1533-position model. The record is from RNAcentral.
GUAGGGAAUAUUGGACAAUGGGUGCAAGCCUGAUCCAGCCAUGCCGCGUGCAGGAAGAAAGCCUUCUGGGUUGUAAACUGCUUUUGCCAGGGGAUAAAAACACUUUGCGAAGUGGAUUGAAGGUACCUGGUGAAUAAGCCACGGCUAACUACGUGCCAGCAGCCGCGGUAAUACGUAGGUGGCAAGCGUUGUCCGGAUUUAUUGGGUUUAAAGGGUGCGUAGGCGGUUCAUUAAGUCAGUGGUGAAAUACGGCAGCUUAACUGUCGAGGUGCCAAUGAUACUGGUGAACUUGAGUACUGAUGAGGUAGGCGGAAUGGACGGUGUAGCGGUGAAAUGCUUAGAGAUCGUCCAGAACACCGAUAGCGAAGGCAGCUUACUAAGGAGUAACUGACGCUGAGGCACGAAAGUGUGGGGAUCAAACAGGAUUAGAUACCCGAGUAGUCC